Molecule: ribosomal RNA, 253 nt
Filed under: uncultured bacterium
Lineage: Bacteria
Description: partial 16S ribosomal RNA
Rfam family: Bacterial small subunit ribosomal RNA
Source: RNAcentral
GACGGAGGGGGCUAGCGUUGUUCGGAAUGACUGGGCGUAAAGGGCGCGUAGGCGGUUUUUUAAGUGAGGCGUGAAAGCCCUGGGCUUAACCCAGGAGGUGCGUUUCAUACUGUAAGACUUGAGUACGAGAGAGGAAAGUGGAAUUUCUAGUGUAGAGGUGAAAUUCGUAGAUAUUAGAAAGAACACCAGUGGCGAAGGCGGCUUUCUGGCUCGUAACUGACGCUGAGGCGCGAAAGCGUGGGGAGCAAACAGG